ACCGAAAGACUCCAAAAAGAGGGGGCCUGCUGUGAUGGGGAAAUCAGGAGUCCUUUUAGCUGACAGAGUGCUGGUGUUCAGAAGAGCUGCUGUUUUCUCAACACCAUGAGAUACCUGACCAAAUCUGCCCAAAAGAGUGGCAGAUGUAGCAGCAUCCUUGACCAUCCUUGUGCAGGCUGUGGAGCAAUGGCUGGACACAAGUAUUUAAUAUCUACAACACAGGAGGAUCAAGGCACACUACAGAGGUGGACCUAGUGAGGGGGUAGGAGCAAAGAGCUUUAUAGGCACCAUCCCUGCCCCCAUGGCCAUCAUUUUCCCACUUAGGAAGAAACCACUUGCAUUUGGAUCCAGUCCUACAGAAAUGAGUCAUUACAGCAAA
RNAcentral lists this long non-coding RNA (379 nucleotides) under Cyanistes caeruleus (blue tit). RNAcentral's name for it is "lncRNA (ENSCCEG00000010897.1)". Lineage: Eukaryota; Metazoa; Chordata; Aves; Passeriformes; Paridae. The record is from RNAcentral.